This is a regulatory RNA element of Aeromonas hydrophila subsp. hydrophila ATCC 7966, 86 nucleotides long. It matches the Rfam family "c-di-GMP-I riboswitch aptamer". Rfam says of the family: GEMM was predicted in a large-scale screen for bacterial structured RNA regulatory elements. Genes associated with GEMM are involved in a diverse array of functions, including chemotaxis regulation, signal transduction, secretion and chitin. Lineage: Bacteria; Pseudomonadati; Pseudomonadota; Gammaproteobacteria; Aeromonadales; Aeromonadaceae. The record is from Rfam.
GUAGUCAUUUGGCAAACUGGUUGAAAGGCCAGGACGCAAAGCCUCCGGUCUAAAGACAUGUCGUCCAGGAUAGCGGGGUUGCCACA